CCUAGGGAGGCUGCAGUGGGGAAUAUUGCACAAUGGGGGAAACCCUGAUGCAGCGACGCCGCGUGAGCGAAGAAGUAUUUCGGUAUGUAAAGCUCUAUCAGCAGGGAAGAAAAUGACGGUACCUGAGUAAGAAGCUCCGGCUAAAUACGUGCCAGCAGCCGCGGUAAUACGGAGGAUGCGAGCGUUAUCCGGAUUUAUUGGGUUUAAAGGGUGCGCAGGCGGAAGAUCAAGUCAGCGGUAAAAUUGAGAGGCUCAACCUCUUCGAGCCGUUGAAACUGGUUUUCUUGAGUGAGCGAGAAGUAUGCGGAAUGCGUGGUGUAGCGGUGAAAUGCAUAGAUAUCACGCAGAACUCCGAUUGCGAAGGCAGCAUACCGGCGCUCAACUGACGCUCAUGCACGAAAGUGUGGGUAUCGAACAGGAUUAGAUACCCCUGUAGUC
This 438-nucleotide ribosomal RNA is filed under the name uncultured bacterium. RNAcentral's name for it is "partial 16S ribosomal RNA". It matches the Rfam family "Bacterial small subunit ribosomal RNA", at positions 338 to 795 of the family's 1533-position model. The record is from RNAcentral.